ACAGGAGGAUCACUUAGCCCAGGAGUUUGAGGCUAUAGUGAGCAAUGAUUAUGAUCGUGCCACUGCACUCCAGCCUGGGCAACAGAG
This 87-nucleotide small nuclear RNA is filed under the name Homo sapiens (human). RNAcentral's name for it is "partial ncRNA". Lineage: Eukaryota; Metazoa; Chordata; Mammalia; Primates; Hominidae. The record is from RNAcentral.